AUGCUUGCUUUGGCAGCACAUAUACAAAACUGAAACAAAAGCAGAGAAGAUUAGCAUGGCUGCUGCACAAGGAUGAUAUACUAAUUUGUGAACCAUUCCCCAUUUUU
This is a small nuclear RNA of Myotis lucifugus (little brown bat), 107 nucleotides long. The record is from Ensembl. Lineage: Eukaryota; Metazoa; Chordata; Mammalia; Chiroptera; Vespertilionidae.